This 791-nucleotide non-coding RNA is filed under the name Artena dotata. The record is from RNAcentral. Lineage: Eukaryota; Metazoa; Arthropoda; Insecta; Lepidoptera; Erebidae.
UAAAAAUUUUUGUAGUUUAAAAAAUUUAUUUAAAGUUUAUUUUACAUAUAAAUUUUAGUGUUAAUAUUAAUUUAUUUUAAUAAUAAAUUUUAUUUUUUUAUUUAGUAAUUAAUAUUAAAAUAUUUAAGAAAUUAAUAUUUAGUAAUAUUUAAAUUAAUAACUAAUUUUGUGCCAGCAGUUGCGGUUAAACAAAGAUUAAGUUAAAUUUUAUUAGUUAAGUUAAUUAAUAUUAAUAAAAUAAAAUAAUUUAAAUUUAAGAUUAUUAGGUGAAAUUUUAAUUUUAUAAAAAAUUAUUUAAAAUAUAUGAUUUAAUAAAUUUAUUUAAAAACUAGGAUUAGAUACCCUAUUAUUAAAAUUUUAAAUUAAUAAAUACUAAAAUAGUAGGUAAUUAUUUAUUGAAACUUAAACAAUUUGGCGGUAUUUUAGUUCAUUUAGAGGAAUCUGUUUAAUAAUUGAUAAUCCACGAAUAAAUUUACUUAGUUUAUAAUUUUGUAUAUCGUUGUUAAAAAAAUAUUUUUAGAUAAAAGUAAUAUUUUAAAAUUAAAAAUAAAAUUAAAUCAGAUCAAGAUGCAGAUUAUAAUUAAGAAUAUAAUGGAUUACAAUAAAUUUAUUUAAAUGAAUUUUAAUUUGAAAAAAUUAAUUGAAAUUGGAUUUAAAUGUAAUUUUAUUUAGUUUAAUAAAAUGAUUAAAAAUUGAAAUAUGUACAUAUUGCCCGUCGCUUUCAUAUAAAUAAAUAAAAUUGAAAUAAGUCGUAACAAAGUAGAGGUACUGGAAAGUGUUUCUAGAAAGAC